RNAcentral lists this ribosomal RNA (675 nucleotides) under uncultured bacterium. RNAcentral describes it as "bacterial SSU rRNA". It matches the Rfam family "Bacterial small subunit ribosomal RNA", at positions 52 to 714 of the family's 1533-position model. The record is from RNAcentral.
GACAUGCAAGUCGUGCGAGAACCAGGGCUUCGGCCCUGGGGACAGCGGCGAACGGGUGAGUAACACGUGGGUCAUCUGCCCUCGGCACCGGAAUAGCCCGGGGAAACCCGGAUUAAUGCCGGAUGGCCCGCCCGCCUUUCGGGGCGGUCGGAAAAGGUAGCUUCGGCCUCUGGCCGAGGAUGAGCCCGCGGCGGAUUAGCUUGUUGGUGAGGUAACGGCUCACCAAGGCGACGAUCCGUAGCUGGUCUGAGAGGACGAUCAGCCACACUGGGACUGAGACACGGCCCAGACUCCUACGGGAGGCAGCAGUGGGGAAUCUUGCGCAAUGGGCGAAAGCCUGACGCAGCGACGCCGCGUGAGGGAAGAAGGCCUUCGGGUUGUAAACCUCUUUCAGGAGGGACGAAGCCACUCGGGUUAAUAGCCCAGAGGGUGACGGUACCUCCAGAAGAAGCCCCGGCUAACUACGUGCCAGCAGCCGCGGUAAUACGUAGGGGGCAAGCGUUGUCCGGAUUUAUUGGGCGUAAAGCGCGUGUAGGCGGCCAGGCAGGUCCGUUGUGAAAACUGGAGGCUCAACCUCCAGACGUCGAUGGAAACCGCUUGGCUAGAGUCCGGAAGAGGAGAGUGGAAUUCCUGGUGUAGCGGUGAAAUGCGCAGAUAUCAGGAAGAACACCGAUG